UAACAAUUAAUUGUUUAUGUUUAUAAACAUUGCCAUCUGUUCUUGUACAUACUGUCAUUUUCAAUUACAUUCUAUCUCUAAUACUUUUUGAGAAAAAUGCAAAUAUAAAAAUUGCCUAUAAGGGGAUAUAACUCUCAAAGGGGAUGAUGAAAUCCUAUGCAGCCUCAUAUGGUAAUACAUCAUGAUGAUAUCUACCUAUUGUCCAUAUAAGGUCAUGAUAUCUUUUAAAACAUUAAAGGGGGGCCAUGUUCAAAAAAAUCAAUAAAAGGGAGAUAACUUUUAAAAAAAAAACAUUAGAAAAACAAUAAGGUCUUUCCUCACGGAGAGGAAAGACCUUAAAAAAAAAAUCAAGGCGAAUGGACCCUGGGUGAAAAGGUAUCAUGGUGAACAGUUCUGGAUUCCAACUAUUCUAACUAUGAGUCAUCCAGUCUGCUCUUAUUCCUUUAUGUGGUGACCAAGAGUCAUCCAGUCUGCUUUUGCUCCUUCAUGUGGAGUUCUCAGAAAAACAGC
This 510-nucleotide long non-coding RNA is filed under the name Mytilus galloprovincialis (Mediterranean mussel). The record is from RNAcentral. Lineage: Eukaryota; Metazoa; Mollusca; Bivalvia; Mytilida; Mytilidae.